AGAAAGAUGACUAAAUAGUUAAUAGGAAAGAGAGUAGACACACAAAUUCAUUUAGUUGUAAGAAGUGGGAAUCUUUAAUUGGCUUGCGAGAUUAUUACUAGUUGUAGUGAAGGAGAAUUCGUUUGACACCCCGACAUUGAUUCAACAGAAGAGUUUAUAGUAUAUUAAACACCAAAAUCUGGUGCAAGAAUUUGUGCAACAUAUCCAAAGGCAAGCAAGAGGAAAACUCUUCAAAGGGGGCCAUCCUGACAUUAACGCG
This 259-nucleotide long non-coding RNA is filed under the name Capsicum annuum. Its description in RNAcentral is "long non-coding RNA (CANN_LNC015364)". Lineage: Eukaryota; Viridiplantae; Streptophyta; Magnoliopsida; Solanales; Solanaceae. The record is from RNAcentral.